GAUGAAGAACGCAGCGAAAUGCGAUAAGUAGUGUGAAUUGCAGAAUUCAGUGAAUCAUCGAAUCUUUGAACGCACAUUGCGCCCCUUGGUAUUCCAUGGGGCAUGCCUGUUCGAGCGUCAUUUGUACCUUCAAGCUCUGCUUGGUGUUGGGUGUUUGUCUCGCCUCUGCGUGUAGACUCGCCUUAAAACAAUUGGCAGCCGGCGUAUUGAUUUCGGAGCGCAGUACAUCUCGCGCUCUGCACUCAUAACGACGACGUCCAAAAGUACAUUUUUACACUCUUGACCUCGGAUCAGGUAGGGAUACUCGCUGAACUUAAGCAUAUCAAUAAGCGGAGGA
RNAcentral lists this unclassified non-coding RNA (337 nucleotides) under soil metagenome. RNAcentral describes it as "partial contains 5.8S ribosomal RNA, internal transcribed spacer 2, and large subunit ribosomal RNA". The stretch from base 1 to 120 matches the Rfam family "5.8S ribosomal RNA", at positions 35 to 154 of the family's 154-position model. The record is from RNAcentral.